This 416-nucleotide ribosomal RNA is filed under the name uncultured bacterium. Its description in RNAcentral is "bacterial SSU rRNA". It matches the Rfam family "Bacterial small subunit ribosomal RNA", at positions 355 to 787 of the family's 1533-position model. The record is from RNAcentral.
UGGGAAGUCUUUCACAAUGGAGGAAACUCUGAUGCAGCGACGCCGCGUGAGCGAUGAAGCCUUCGGGUGUGAAGCAUCUUUCGACGGGAACGAUAAUGACGGUACCCGGAGAAGAAGCUGCGGCUAACUGCGUGCCAGCAGCCGCGGUAAUACGUAGGCAGCAAGCGUUGUUCGGAAUUACUGGGCGUAAAGAGUGUGUAGGCGGUGCUCUAAAGUUCGGUGUGAAAAUCUCCCGGCUUAACUGGGAGGGUGCGCCGGAAACUGGAGUGCUUGAGCGCGGGAGAGGAAAGCGGAAUUCCUGGUGUAGCGGUGAAAUGCGUAGAUAUCAGGAGGAACACCUGUGGUGUAGACGGCUUUCUGGACCGUAGCUGACGCUGAGACACGAAAGCGUGGGUAGCAAACAGGAUUAGAUACCC